CGGCGGACGGGUGAGUAACACGUGGAUAACCUACCUAUAAGACUGGGAUAACUUCGGGAAACCGGAGCUAAUACCGGAUAAUAUAUUAAACCGCAUGGUUCAAUAGUGAAAGACGGUUUUGCUGUCACUUAUAGAUGGAUCCGCGCCGCAUUAGCUAGUUUGUAAGGUAACGGCUUACCAAGGCAACGAUGCGUAGCCGACCUGAGAGGGUGAUCGGCCACACUGGAACUGAGACACGGUCCAG
RNAcentral lists this ribosomal RNA (244 nucleotides) under uncultured Staphylococcus sp. RNAcentral's name for it is "partial 16S ribosomal RNA". It matches the Rfam family "Bacterial small subunit ribosomal RNA", at positions 96 to 334 of the family's 1533-position model. Lineage: Bacteria; Bacillati; Bacillota; Bacilli; Caryophanales; Staphylococcaceae. The record is from RNAcentral.